This 505-nucleotide ribosomal RNA is filed under the name uncultured Bacillus sp. RNAcentral's name for it is "bacterial SSU rRNA". It matches the Rfam family "Bacterial small subunit ribosomal RNA", at positions 380 to 876 of the family's 1533-position model. Lineage: Bacteria; Bacillati; Bacillota; Bacilli; Caryophanales; Bacillaceae. The record is from RNAcentral.
AGUCUGAAGCAGCAACCCCGCGUGAGUGAAGAAGGUCUUCGGGUCGUAAAACUUUGUUGUUAGGGAAGAACAAGUACGAGAGUAACUCCUCGUACCUUGACGGUACCUAACCAGAAAGCCCCGGCUAACUACGUGCCCGCAGCCGCGGUAAUACGUAGGGGGCAAGCGUUUUCCGGAAUUUUUGGGCGUAAAGCGCGCGCAGGGGCUCCUUUAAGUCUGAUGUGAAAGCCCCCGGCUCAACCGUGGAGGGUCAUUGGAAACUGGGGGACUUGAGUGCAGAAGAGAAGAGUGGAAUUCCACGUGUAGCGGUGAAAUGCGUAGAGAUGUGGAGGAACACCAGUGGCGAAGGCGACUCUUUGGUCUGUCACUGACGCUGAGGCGCAAAAGCGUGGGGAGCAAACAGGAUUAGAUACCUUUGUAGUCCACGCCGUAAACGAUGAGUGCUAAGUGUUAGAGGGUUUCCGCCCUUUAGUGCUGCAGCAAACGCAUUAAGCACUCCGCCUGG